RNAcentral lists this ribosomal RNA (554 nucleotides) under Microbacterium ginsengiterrae. RNAcentral's name for it is "bacterial SSU rRNA". It matches the Rfam family "Bacterial small subunit ribosomal RNA", at positions 81 to 648 of the family's 1533-position model. Lineage: Bacteria; Bacillati; Actinomycetota; Actinomycetes; Micrococcales; Microbacteriaceae. The record is from RNAcentral.
GCUCUGUGGGAUCAGUGGCGAACGGGUGAGUAACACGUGAGCAACCUGCCCCUGACUCUGGGAUAAGCGCUGGAAACGGCGUCUAAUACUGGAUACGAACAAGAAUCGCAUGGUUACUUGUUGGAAAGAUUUUUCGGUUGGGGAUGGGCUCGCGGCCUAUCAGCUUGUUGGUGAGGUAAUGGCUCACCAAGGCGUCGACGGGUAGCCGGCCUGAGAGGGUGACCGGCCACACUGGGACUGAGACACGGCCCAGACUCCUACGGGAGGCAGCAGUGGGGAAUAUUGCACAAUGGGCGAAAGCCUGAUGCAGCAACGCCGCGUGAGGGAUGACGGCCUUCGGGUUGUAAACCUCUUUUAGCAGGGAAGAAGCGAAAGUGACGGUACCUGCAGAAAAAGCGCCGGCUAACUACGUGCCAGCAGCCGCGGUAAUACGUAGGGCGCAAGCGUUAUCCGGAAUUAUUGGGCGUAAAGAGCUCGUAGGCGGUUUGUCGCGUCUGCUGUGAAAUCCCGAGGCUCAACCUCGGGCCUGCAGUGGGUACGGGCAGACUAGAGUG